UACGUAGGGGGCGAGCGUUAUCCGGAUUUACUGGGUGUAAAGGGAGCGCAGGCGGAAGGCUAAGUCUGGUGUGAAAGCCCGGGGCUCAACCCCGGAACUGCAUUGGAAACUGGCCAUCUGGAGUACCGGAGGGGUAGGCGGAAUUCCUAGUGUAGCGGUGAAAUGCGUAGAUAUUAGGAGGAACACCAGUGGCGAAGGCGGCCUACUGGACGGUAACUGACGCUGAGGCUCGAAAGCGUGGGGAGCAAAC
RNAcentral lists this ribosomal RNA (250 nucleotides) under uncultured prokaryote. Its description in RNAcentral is "partial 16S ribosomal RNA". It matches the Rfam family "Bacterial small subunit ribosomal RNA", at positions 524 to 773 of the family's 1533-position model. The record is from RNAcentral.